Long non-coding RNA from Athene cunicularia (burrowing owl), 1934 nucleotides. RefSeq lists it as uncharacterized. The record is from RefSeq and is a predicted model, not a curated record. The transcript is spliced from 2 exons. Lineage: Eukaryota; Metazoa; Chordata; Aves; Strigiformes; Strigidae.
GAGAGUGAGCCAUUAUUUCUACAUUUAACACUUGUACAUUUUUAUUUAGUUAAAUCAGCCAUUGUACACAUUGCAGCUAUGUAUUGUUAGUGUUGUAUUUUUUAAAUUUUUAACUAAUACAUGCCCUCAUAGAUAUAUUCAAUUAGUGUUAUCACCAUGGGAACAAGAUGCUGAUUCGUCAACUUAAAAUUCACUUCUUCUCACAGUAUUCAAGUUCUUUGAUAACACAGCAAAAAAUCAAAAUAAGAGGUGAAUAACCAUUAUGUUGUUACACAGAACAUCAUCUGCACCGCAAAUAACACAACAGAAAUGCAUUUCUUUAGAGCCCCAUCCUUGAAGAUCAUCCUGUGCUGUCUCUGACAAGAAGAAAGCCAUGAUGCGUUGUGAAAUGUUUCCUCAUGGGUCUCAUUUGGUUUGGCUGCCAAAACACUUUUAAAUUUUUUUGUUGUUGUUGUUUCCUGCCUGCCAAAAGUAGCAGCCCGGGUUGUUUUGCCUGCAGGAAGCCAGAACUCCCAAGAUGUUUUCAUGCUUUUGGCAUCAUUACCUUAAUGAGGAAGUGCCCUUGUUCUGAGCACUGAGUGAGUCAUUAAAAAAAAUAAACCACCCCCCAUAAUGGUAGAAGGCCAGAUAAGCUUGGAAAAGGUAUUAGUCCUAGAGGAGAGGAUUUGUUUUACUCUGGUUUUGAGUACACUAUUAAAAAAUCAAAUAGCUGUUUAAAAACAUUUAGUUAGUGUGUCUGUGUGUAUUACAUAUGUGAAAACACUACAGAGCUCCCUCCAUUAAAUAUCAAGGUAUAGAACAUCCAAAAUGACAGAUCUCUAUGUUCCCCUUUUUGAAAACAAAAGUGCAGACAUGCUAAUGUGGUUUUCAGAGGGUUGGUUUAGAAGUAUAUAUAUUAUAUAAUAGAGAUAGAUAACAGAAACUGGCUUUUGAGGAUUGUGAGCACUUUCUCUUUAAAAAACACAUGAUUGGAAGAUAAAAACUGCUCACUCAGUGCUAAGAGGGCUAACAAGCUGACAUGAUUAUAGGAGGGUUUGGUUUUGACCUUCAAAUGCCACAUGCAUGUAUCGGAUAAGAGGCAAUCUUGAUAAAACACGGUGAAUUAAUUACUCUCCUUGUAUAGUGAUAAGUCUUUCUCCCAUAGUUAUCUACAGUGCAGUGGCCAGCAGGAAGUACCACCAAUAAGACAGUGUGGUUUGCUAAGCAGUGAUGAAAACAGGAAACUACUGUAGUUAUAAUUGUUUAAUACACCCUGCCACAUGUCCAGAUCUAAAAGAUUUUAAUACCGUAUGCAAAUGUGCCAUAGAUAUAGCUGCUAGCAAGUUGGUUACCUAAUUGGGUAUUUUUUUUUUAAAUUUUUUUUUCUGGAAAUUGUUAGGUGGCUGUCCAAAGGUCUUAGAAGUGUUAAUGGCCACAGUCAGCUGUUACUUCAUGAGAACAGCUGCAUUUCCAGGUUUUUAGCCUGACUCUUAGAGCCUUUAACUAUAAUAUAUCCCUAAACUGGAAGUCUUAUGGAUGCAGUAGAUCUGCAGUGCUUCCUCCUCAGUCGGUCUGUGUCUGCAGUUGAUUGUGUUAACAUUAUUUUAUUAAUUGCUGUUCAGCAGUGUCAAUAGACCUUGUAAUCCAUGAUGCUAAUUGUAGUCAUAGGCAGUGUGUUUUCUGCAGUCUUGUAAGUUCAAAUACUCUUGCUAUAUACAGUUUACAUGUGAACUCCCUUUUUUAUGAUGCAUGUACAUAGUCACUUGAAGAGGCCUGUAGAUGAAAGUUGGCUUGACAAAUGCAAUUUCAUGAAGCUAGUGCAGAAGCAAAGGAACAGCAAGAAGUGGCGAUGCUGACAAAUUCCCAGUACAGCACAAAGACGACGAUUCGGUGGAUAAAUCAUCCUGAAUGAAGGAUGCUAUCUUUGGUCACAAAUUAGCUUACAGGGUAAAAAA